Molecule: ribosomal RNA, 449 nt
Filed under: uncultured bacterium
Lineage: Bacteria
Description: partial 16S ribosomal RNA
Rfam family: Bacterial small subunit ribosomal RNA
Source: RNAcentral
AGCGAACGCUGGCGGCAGGCCUAACACAUGCAAGUCGAACGAACUCUUCGGAGUUAGUGGCGGACGGGUGAGUAACACGUGGGAACGUGCCUUUAGGUUCGGAAUAACUCAGGGAAACUUGUGCUAAUACCGAAUGUGCCCUUCGGGGGAAAGAUUUAUCGCCUUUAGAGCGGCCCGCGUCUGAUUAGCUAGUUGGUGAGGUAAAGGCUCACCAAGGCGACGAUCAGUAGCUGGUCUGAGAGGAUGAUCAGCCACAUUGGGACUGAGACACGGCCCAAAGUCCUACGGGAGGCAGCAGUGGGGAAUCUUGCGCAAUGGGCGGAAGCCUGACGCAGCCAUGCCGCGUGAAUGAUGAAGGUCUUAGGAUUGUAAAAUUCUUUCACCGGGGACGAUAAUGACGGUACCCGGAGAAGAAGCCCCGGCUAACUUCGUGCCAGCAGCCGCCGCAG